CCUACGGGAGGCUGCCGUGAGGAAUAUUGGUCAAUGGGCGGGAGCCUGAACCAGCCAAGUCGCGUGAGGGAAGACGGUCCUAUGGAUUGUAAACCUCUUUAGGCGGGGAGCAAUGCCGGGCACGCGUGCCCGGAGGGAGAGUACCCGCAGAAUAAGCAUCGGCUAACUCCGUGCCAGCAGCCGCGGUAAUACGGAGGAUGCGAGCGUUAUCCGGAUUGAUUGGGUUUAAAGGGGGAGUAGGCGGAUUUUUAAGUCAGCGGUAAAAUGUCCGGGCUCAACCCGGGCCGGCCGUUGAAACUGGGGAUCUUGAGUGGGCGAGAAGUAUGCGGAAUGCGUGGUGUAGCGGUGAAAUGCAUAGAUAUCACGCAGAACUCCGAUUGCGAAGGCAGCAUACCGGCGCCCGACUGACGCUGAGGCACGAAAGCGUGGGGAUCGAACAGGAUUAGAUACCCCUGUAGUC
This 460-nucleotide ribosomal RNA is filed under the name uncultured bacterium. Its description in RNAcentral is "partial 16S ribosomal RNA". It matches the Rfam family "Bacterial small subunit ribosomal RNA", at positions 338 to 795 of the family's 1533-position model. The record is from RNAcentral.